This 592-nucleotide long non-coding RNA is filed under the name Camelus dromedarius (Arabian camel). RNAcentral describes it as "lncRNA (ENSCDRG00005012177.1)". Lineage: Eukaryota; Metazoa; Chordata; Mammalia; Artiodactyla; Camelidae. The record is from RNAcentral.
UUUAGUUCCAGCCCACUGCCUGCGUUGGAAGUCCGAGAGGAAACGAACACAGGGAGUUCUCCGGGAGGCUGACUUACACUUCCUCACGGAUGCGGGAGACUUGGGUUUUCCAAGCUAAAGGUGACAUUUCAUCGUCUCCCAACAUUGUACCUGAUGAUUUGGUGUUUGCAAAGCUGAGCACCGAAUUUCAUGUGUGUGCACUACAAAUUGGAUCUGCAGGUCCAGCCACGUCAGACCCCAUCAGCCACUCUGUGUCCCAGGUAGAGCGGGGAGGAGGGCCACAGAAGCUGGUUUAUGAGCACAGGAAAUGCUUAUUUCACGACUCAGACUCCGUGGCUUUGUGAGCGUCUGCUCUGCUCCCUCGAGCACUUCAGAAUUUCAGGAAGGAAGUUUUGCUCCAACCACCUUCAUCUACUGCUGUCCCCUGCGUUCCCCCGAUGAGGUCCCUUUGUGCCUUGGCACAGUCCAUUUUCCCAUCUGAAUUUGCCCCCUCUUAGAAAUCCAUGAAGCUCUCUUCCUUCAGAAUCUGGCUCAAAAUUAAAUUUCUCUGAAAAAUUUAAUCACUAUUCCAAUUGCUUCUUUAUUUCUUGAU